Molecule: ribosomal RNA, 448 nt
Filed under: uncultured bacterium
Lineage: Bacteria
Description: SSU rRNA
Rfam family: Bacterial small subunit ribosomal RNA
Source: RNAcentral
AGAACGAACGCUGGCGGCAGGCCUCAAACAUGCAAGUCUAGGGGGUGCAGCAAUGCAUCACCGGCGGACGGGUGCGUAACACGUGGGAAUAUACCUUUUGGUUCGGAACAACGCAGGGAAACUUGCGCUAAUACCGAAUGUGCCCUUACGGGGAAAGAUUUAUCGCCAAAGGAUUAGCCCGCGUCCGAUUAGCUAGUUGGUGAGGUAAUGGCUCACCAAGGCUCCGAUCGGUAGCUGUUCUGAGAGGAAGAUCAGCCACACUGGGACUGAGACACGGCCCAGACUCCUACGGGAGGCAGCAGUUGGGAAUCUUGGACAAUGGGGGAAACCCUGAUCCAGCCAUGCCGCGUGAGUGAUGAAGGCCUUCGGGUUGUAAAACUCUUUCGACGGGGACGGUAAUGACGGUACCCGUAGAAGAAGCUCCGGCUAACUUCGCGCCAGCAGCCGC